UAUGCGUUGUGGUAGGGGAGCGUUCUGUAAGGCCUGCGAAGGGUGUACUGUGAGGUAUGCUGGAGGUAUCAGAAGUGCGAAUGCUGACAUAAGUCAACGAUAAAGCGGGUGAAAAGCCCGCUCGCCGGAAGACCAAGGGUUCCUGUCCAACGUUAAUCGGGGCAGGGUGAGUCGACCCCUAAGGCGAGGCCGAAAGGCGUAGUCGAUGGGAAACAGGUUAAUAUUCCUGUACUUGGUGUUACUGCGAAGGGGGGACGGAGAAGGCUAUGUUGGCCGGGCGACGGUUGUCCCGGUUUAAGCGUGUAGGCUGGUUUUCCAGGCAAAUCCGGAAAAUCAAGGCUGAGGCGUGAUGACGAGGCACUACGGUGCUGAAGCAACAAAUGCCCUGCUUCCAGGAAAAGCCUCUAAGCAUCAGGUAACAUCAAAUCGUACCCCAAACCGACACAGGUGGUCAGGUAGAGAAUACCAAGGCGCUUGAGAGAACUCGGGUGAAGGAACUAGGCAAAAUGGUGCCGUAACUUCGGGAGAAGGCACGCUGAUAUGUAGGUGAAGUCCCUCGCGGAUGGAGCUGAAAUCAGUCGAA
RNAcentral lists this ribosomal RNA (583 nucleotides) under Escherichia coli. RNAcentral describes it as "bacterial LSU rRNA". It matches the Rfam family "Bacterial large subunit ribosomal RNA", at positions 1217 to 1791 of the family's 2925-position model. Lineage: Bacteria; Pseudomonadati; Pseudomonadota; Gammaproteobacteria; Enterobacterales; Enterobacteriaceae. The record is from RNAcentral.